Molecule: ribosomal RNA, 402 nt
Filed under: uncultured prokaryote
Description: bacterial SSU rRNA
Rfam family: Bacterial small subunit ribosomal RNA
Source: RNAcentral
UAGGGAAUAUUAGAAAUGGCCGCAAGUCUGAUCUAGCAACACCGCGUGUGCGAAGAAGGCCUUCGGGUUGUAAAGCACUUUUUGGAAGGAUUAGGAAGGAAUGUACUUCCAGAAUAAGUCUCGGCUAACUACGUGCCAGCAGCCGCGGUAACACGUAGGAGGCAAACGUUAUCCGGAUUUACUGGGCGUACAGCGCGUGUAGGUGGUACUGUACGUAGGGCGUGAAAGCUCCUGGCUCAACUGGGAGAGGCCGUUCUAAACUGCAGAGCUAGAGGAUUGUAGAGGGUGGUGGAAUUCCGGGUGUAGCGGCGGAAUGCGCAGAUAUCCGGAGGAACACCAGUGGCGAAAGCGGCCUCCUGGACCAUUCCUGACACUCAGACGCGAAAGCUAGGGUAGCAAACG